This 289-nucleotide long non-coding RNA is filed under the name Erythranthe guttata (spotted monkey flower). RNAcentral's name for it is "long non-coding RNA (EGUT_LNC002196)". The record is from RNAcentral. Lineage: Eukaryota; Viridiplantae; Streptophyta; Magnoliopsida; Lamiales; Phrymaceae.
UCAACUAUGAUUUUUUCUUAGACCUCCACCUUUAUGGUGCCAAAUUCAACAUAGUCAUCUAGAUUCCGUGAAAUGUGCUCUAGUUUGUACUAUUUUUGUGUAAAAAAUACAGUUUCCGAUGCACCACAAACUGAUAUAUACAAGCUAAAAAUCACAUAUUAUGAUCAUCUUGCUUCAUAAUGUAGAGUUUGAAUGGGAUAAAACGGGUACAAAAGUGAUAAUAUUCCAUAUAAUCUCGAAGAUUCCACUAAAUUUGAUGAGUUGAGGGGGUGGUUGUAAUUAUCCAAAC